This 460-nucleotide ribosomal RNA is filed under the name uncultured bacterium. Its description in RNAcentral is "partial 16S ribosomal RNA". It matches the Rfam family "Bacterial small subunit ribosomal RNA", at positions 338 to 795 of the family's 1533-position model. The record is from RNAcentral.
CCUACGGGGGGCAGCAGUGAGGAAUAUUGGUCAAUGGACGAGAGUCUGAACCAGCCAAGUAGCGUGAAGGAUGACUGCCCUAUGGGUUGUAAACUUCUUUUAUAUGGGAAUAAAAUGUUCCACGUGUGGGAUUUUGUAUGUACCAUAUGAAUAAGGAUCGGCUAACUCCGUGCCAGCAGCCGCGGUAAUACGGAGGAUCCGAGCGUUAUCCGGUUUUAUUGGGUUUAAAGGGAGCGUAGGUGGAUUGUUAAGUCAGUUGUGAAAGUUUGCGGCGCAACCGUAAAAUUGCAGUUGAAACUGGCAGUCUUGAGUACAGUAGAGGUGGGCGGAAUUCGUGGUGUAGCGGUGAAAUGCUUAGAUAUCACGAAGAACUCCGAUUGCGAAGGCAGUUCACUGGACUGCAACUGACACUGAGGCUCGAAAGUGUGGGUAUCAAACAGGAUUAGAUACCCGAGUAGUC